UUUUCUUCCCACCCUUUCUAAAUCAAGUGGCAUGCAUCUACCAUUUCACAGAUGAGGAAACUGAGGUGCAGAAAAGGGAGGUGACUUACUCAAGGGCAUACAGUCAACUGAGAGCAGAGUCUGCACCAGACCCCAAAUUUCUUGAUGUGAAGUGCCUUUGCUCAGUUCUGAGGGUGGUGUGAUAACUAAUAAUAAACUACUGUGCAAUAAGCAUCAACUGUACACCUGGCUGUGUGCCAGACACCUGACACAAGUCAUCAUCACAGCAAUUCUAAAGAGCAUCACUAGUCCAAAUAAGAACUUGAAAAUAAAAUUAUAAAGUAAUAUAUGCAUAAACCAGAAUACUUCAAAUAAUACCGAAAGGCAUAGAAUGAAAAUAAAAAUCUUCAGUGCUGUCCCCUCUUUGAGAAUCACAGUGCUAUGUUUUCAUUCCUCUGGAGGCUCUCUCCAUAACUCAUACACAGAUGUGAUCAUUGCUUUAUGAUUGAGGACAGGGAGGCUCACAAUCAAGAUAACCAGCUGUGACGGCCUGACUGCAGGCUUGGCACUUCUAUUAUUCCACUUAGCUAAGGCUCCUACUAUUGGUACAGUUUUUCAGGGCCUGAGACCAUAGGCCCUUUCCAUGCAGAUAACCUGAUGAUCAUUUGUGAUUGCUGAAUUCUUUUCAGGCCUCAGAGCAAAAUGGACAGGCAGCUCUCCUCAGGCCACUAUCACCCGAGUAAUGUCACCUCUUAUUGUCACCUCCAUGCUGCCUUCACCCCAGACUAGCUCUGGGACUGGGGUCUGCAGAACACAUGGAAGAAGUCUCCCAUCGUGCAAGGGAGAAAAUGAAACUCUACUGGCCUCUAUCAGGGAAGUUAAAAAUUUCCCCCUCUUUCUUGCAAGUUUCCCAAAUCACAAGACUCUGAUUUCCAGGUCAGAGAAUAAGAUUUCAUUUUUAUUAUCCUUUACACUUUGCACAUGAAGAGUCCCCAAAGGAGUAUGUGAUGGACUGAUUAUUGGGAGCCUAUGUUGGGCAAGGCCAGGACUCCGGUGCCUCGUGGAGUACUCGGUCACGCCUGCAGUGAUCUGGGGACCUUAAGUCAGCUCCUACUUUCUAAUGCCAGACAGCACCCUCCCCUCCCUGGAGCUGGUAAGCAGGACUUCUCCUCGGGACUGAGCCAGUCCUGGGAUUCUUAAGGGGUUGGGCUAGUGACCCAAUAUUGAAGAGGAUUCAAAUAUGUAUGUGGCAUUUCUGAUUUAAUUCCUAAAUGACAGUUGCCUUAAGCAUGUGGAAGAUAAGAAACCUUGCUGAAUGUUUCAACUUAAAAGAACAUUGGUUUAAGAGAAAUGAAUACUAUGUCCACAAAAAAACUUGUGCAUUAAUGUUCACAAUAGCAUUAUAUUCAUAAUAGCCCAAAUGACAAAACAUCCAAAUGUCCAUCAACUAAUAAAAGGAUAAACAAAAUAUGGUAUACCCAUGCAAUGAAGUACUAUUUGGCAAUAAAAAGGAAUGAAAUACUCAUACAAGCAACAACAUUGAUGAAUCCUAAAACACUAUGCUAAGUGAAGGAAGCUAAUCAUGAAUAACAUAUUGUAUGACAUUCCUAGAACAGGCAAAUCCAUAGAGACAGAAAAUAGCCUAGUGGCUGUGGAGAGCUGGGAAUCAGAAUGCAGGCAAUGGAAGUUUCGGGGCAGUGCUACAGAGCAUCCUUCUGGGGGAUGAGAUUAUUCUCAAGUUAAUUGUGAUGGAGGUUGGACACCUCUGUGAAUGUACCAAAAACCAUUGAAUUUUGUGUUUGAAAUAGGUGAAUCACAUGGUGUGCAAAUAAUAUUUCAAAACAGCUGUUAAUUAUUUUAAAUGAUACUUAAAAAAAAGACCAGUGGUUUAUGUCUCUUUUUCUGAAACUCACCACCUUCAGAUCCAUAUGCCCAGGCUUACAAACAGAUUUUAUGAGCUAAGUAAAGUGAAAAUGUGAAAAAUAGUGAUUUUUCCUUAGUUGGAUUUGCAGAUCAGUACAUAUCCACAAUACUUGUACCUGUGACUGUUUUGAACUCUCUUGAAAAAUGUUUCCUUAGGCUAACAUUAUUAAACUAUGUUUAAACAAUGAUAGUUAAGUGGCUUUCUCAUUUCUGUUUUCCCCAUAUUCUUCUCCCCCUCCUCAAGUCAUAGCACUCCAGUUUUCUCUUUAGGACCCACCCACCUUCUUUUUAGUUCCUGUGGUUUAAGUAUUGUUGACCCUUUCUUUGCCUUAGGCUUUGUGACUCAAGCCUGGUCAACCAGCAAACUCUGUAAAGUGGUGUGUUGUAACUGGUUCACACCAGCACCGCCAAAACAACUCGUAAAUUUUUAGGAAUUCUGUGAGUCAGUUGUUAAACAUGAUCAUUAUUAAAAUUUAAAUUAUAUGAAUUUAUAAUUAAAUAAAUUACACUUAAAGUUAAUAGGCACUCAAAAAUCCAUCACUUUCUAUUUAUUUGGGUACAUUUUACUAUUAUGUAU
Phyllostomus discolor (pale spear-nosed bat) is the source of this 2479-nucleotide long non-coding RNA. RefSeq lists it as uncharacterized. The record is from RefSeq and is a predicted model, not a curated record. Lineage: Eukaryota; Metazoa; Chordata; Mammalia; Chiroptera; Phyllostomidae. The transcript is spliced from 3 exons.